UCUACGGGAGGCAGCAGUGAGGAAUAUUGGUCAAUGGGCGCGAGCCUGAACCAGCCAAGUAGCGUGAAGGAUGACUGCCCUAUGGGUUGUAAACUUCUUUUAUAUAGGAAUAAAGUGAUGCACGUGUGCGUUUUUGUAUGUACUUUAUGAAUAAGGAUCGGCUAACUCCGUGCCAGCAGCCGCGGUAAUACGGAGGAUACGAGCGUUAUCCGGAUUUAUUGGGGUUAAAGGGAGCGUAGAUGGGUUGUUAAGUCAGUUGUGAAAGUUUGCGGCUCAACCGUAAAAUUGCAAUUGAUACUGGCAGUCUUGAGUACAGUAGAGGUAGGCGGAAUGCGUGGUGUAGCGGUGAAAUGCUUAGAUAUCACGAAGAACUCCGAUUGCGAAGGCAGCUUACUAAACUGCCACUGACAUUGAUGCUCGAAAGUGUGGGUAUCAAACAGGAUUAGAUACCCGUGUAGUC
Molecule: ribosomal RNA, 460 nt
Filed under: uncultured bacterium
Lineage: Bacteria
Description: partial 16S ribosomal RNA
Rfam family: Bacterial small subunit ribosomal RNA
Source: RNAcentral